CUACGGGUCGCUGCAGUGGGGAAUAUUGCACAAUGGGCGCAAGCCUGAUGCAGCCAUGCCGCGUGUAUGAAGAAGGCCUUCGGGUUGUAAAGUACUUUCAGCGGGGAGGAAGGGAGUAAAGUUAAUACCUUUGCUCAUUGACGUUACCCGCAGAAGAAGCACCGGCUAACUCCGUGCCAGCAGCCGCGGUAAUACGGAGGGUGCAAGCGUUAAUCGGAAUUACUGGGCGUAAAGCGCACGCAGGCGGUUUGUUAAGUCAGAUGUGAAAUCCCCGGGCUCAACCUGGGAACUGCAUCUGAUACUGGCAAGCUUGAGUCUCGUAGAGGGGGGUAGAAUUCCAGGUGUAGCGGUGAAAUGCGUAGAGAUCUGGAGGAAUACCGGUGGCGAAGGCGGUCCCCUGGACGAAGACUGACGCUCAGGUGCGAAGGCGUGGGGAGCAAACAGGAUUAGAUACCCUAGUAGUC
RNAcentral lists this ribosomal RNA (464 nucleotides) under uncultured bacterium. Its description in RNAcentral is "partial 16S ribosomal RNA". It matches the Rfam family "Bacterial small subunit ribosomal RNA", at positions 339 to 795 of the family's 1533-position model. The record is from RNAcentral.